CGGACGGGUGAGUAACGCGUGGAUAACCUGCCUCACACUGGGGGAUAACGGUUAGAAAUGACUGCUAAUACCGCAUAAGCGCACAGUACCGCAUGGUACGGUGUGAAAAACUCCGGUGGUGUGAGAUGGAUCCGCGUCUGAUUAGCCAGUUGGCGGGGUAACGGCCCACCAAAGCGACGAUCAGUAGCCGACCUGAGAGGGUGACCGGCCACAUUGGGACUGAGACACGGCCCAA
Molecule: ribosomal RNA, 235 nt
Filed under: uncultured bacterium
Lineage: Bacteria
Description: partial 16S ribosomal RNA
Rfam family: Bacterial small subunit ribosomal RNA
Source: RNAcentral